GAGAGCCGGAUGCGUAGAGAUGCGCAUGUCCGGUUCGGGAAGCGGCUCGCGGAAUCCCACCGGUGGAGACACCGGCAGGGCGCCGCGAGUCGACUUUCAC
Molecule: non-coding RNA, 100 nt
Filed under: Parafrankia irregularis
Lineage: Bacteria; Bacillati; Actinomycetota; Actinomycetes; Frankiales; Frankiaceae
Source: RNAcentral